GAAAAUUUGAAAGAUAUCUCAGAACCAAGAACCAUCUGGCUAAAAGAAUACGACUGAACUUUAAAUUGAUUAAAGGAAUUAUUCUGGUUCUCUGCAAAAAUUGCUAAUACGGAAAUUCCGGGGAAGGUAGAGUUUUCUCUGGCUUCCAGGAUCCCACAAAACACACUUUAGAGAUUCAGUCUCCUUUGACUAUGCCUCUGGUGGUGGCAGCGGCGGCAGGGCUGCUUGCAGUUUAUGCUUUAAUACUCAAGUUGUAAUGACCUCUAAUUUUGUUGUUUUUCUUUAUGAUCAUUUUUUCGAAAGAAAAUUGUCUUUCAAUUAUACACGGCUUAUUUUUUAUUAGGUUGGGACUCAACACAGCGCAGAUUAGCUUAGAAAGAUGGGGUGUUCUCUAGACAGAAAGAACACAUGGAUUUGCUUCAGAGCUUUUAUCCUGCAUUGACCACCAGAGGGCGACAUUGCACCGGUUGGCUGCCUCCUUUUCUGCAGCUGAUCCCCACUUUCAACUCAGUUGCUCCCUAUAUCUGGCUGAGUCCUUAGAACAUCUGAUAAGUGAAGAAGUGAAGACAGUCAGAGGCAGAAGGUUCUCAGGACUAAAAUCGCAUCUGCAGGUUUUUUAUUUAUUUAUUUUUUUGUAUUCAUUUAAACUAGAAAGGUGUCUAGACAACAUUUUUUUUUCUUUGUCUUCAAGAACUGGGAAGUGCAGCCAUUUUUCUGAAUGUGACAAGCUAUUCCAGAAAGGCACUAGAGGUGUUUCCACUGCUCAGCCAUGUUUCCAGUCAUUAUCUCAUUCCUGGGGAUACAGUUUUUCAUGGGAGAUGUCCAAGCACAGUCAGUUACACAGCUGGAUUCCCAUGUCACUGUCUUUGAAGGAAACUUGGUGGAGCUCAGAUGCAACUAUUCCUACAGUGGAGCUCCGUACCUCUUCUGGUACAUGCAGCGCCCUGGCCAUGGCCUCCAGCUUCUCCUCAGCUACCGUUCAGGAAGUUCUGUGGUUCAUGGAAUAAAUGGUUUCGAAGCUAACUUUCAUAAGAGUAACUCUUCCUUCCAACUGAAGAAAACCUCUGUGCACUGGAGAGACUCGGCUGUGUACUUCUGUGCUCUGAGUGCACAGUGUCAGAGGCUGCAGGGGGAGCUGAACACAAACCUGUAAGAUGCUGGGGAGAGCUGUAGCUGAAUGACUUUAGAUCAUCCAUGUUCCUGUAACUAACCUAAAUAAACUUUUAGUUCUUCAAGUUGAACUUCUCUGGAAACAUUACUUUAUUCUGCUAUUGGUGCCCUAUCUGCAGGGCAUAGACAUUUGGUCAUAAAUCCCAUUAAAGGUGACAUAACAGGGUAAAAAUCAAAAAAUGACUGAGACAUGGUUCCUUCUUUUAGGGCUGUUUUGUAGACUGCAUUUUCUACUAACUGAUGAUCUCCAAGAGACUUGACUUCACAACUCUGUUCCACAUAAACAUUGACUGCAGCGGAUGCCUCUGUAGUAUGCACUAGAGGGAGAAGUGUUGGCUUCUUUUUUUCUUCAGACUGAACAGGAUCUGAAUAAGGACUCAUCUGGAUUAGGCUCACAUGUGAAGACACAGCCUGAACAUGGCAGCAUCAUUUCCAGAAUUUGGCCCUGCACACUGAGUAGAAUGGAGAGAAUGAGUAGAGCAGGGCACAAAAGCAUUCUGAGCUCUUUGUUCUUGAUGAUGGGUGCGAUGUCACAAGUUCACUCAAGCUUUGGCUGCUGUGACUUCCACGCUAUGAAGGACUGUAACCUGGAACUGUCAGGUCAAAUGAAUCCUCUUCCUUCUGAGUGAUCAUGCUCAGGGUGGCUCUUUUUUCACAGCAACUGGAAAGGGAGCUGUGAUGUCGUUCUUACUCCAGUCCAUGGCUGCUUUCUUAGAUUGUGAGCACAGAAGGCAUGGAAGAACCAGAGUCUGACCUCAACGGAUGAAACUGUAUCAGUGAGGGUCAGAUGCUCUCUCAUGGGAAAUGGGGGUCUGCCAGGAAGGAGGGGAAUACUUGGAGUUUAUAGAGAGAUUGGGAUGAGGAAUCUUGUGCAGUUGCAAGGGGCUACAUCCAAGUCUGCAAUCUCUCAUCCCCCAUGUUGUAGGUUUAUUUGAGACAGACUAUCAUGGGAAGCAGGAUGUCUCACCAAAGGAUUUCCUUUCUGGAGCUCACUGGUCAGGACUGGAACAAGAACAGCUAUGAUCUCAUAGAAAUUCUGUUUGUACAACUGAGGCACAUAAUCAUGUGUGAGAAUUGUGGUAUUAUUUCUUCUUCAGUAAAUGUGACCAAUGUCCCAUAAAUACACAAAUAAGAAAGUGGAAACCCCAAAAUUUAAACAGUUAUAUUUGCUUUUUGACAAAUUAUGAUAUUCUUUAAGAGUAUUUAUCUAAAUUUAGUUAUACUCAGCUAUAAAAUUUCAAUUAAAAUUUAAAACAUUCAAAUUUAAUUUAAAAUUUAAAACAAGUUGCAAUUGUUCUUGCUUUUCUCAUUGUUAUUUCCUUUCAUCCCUUUCCCAAAUUUGCAUUUCUAAUAUACAUAUAUAUAUAUAUAUAUGUGUGUGUGUGUGUGUAUGUUAAUAUAAUAUAACUCUGAGUUUUUAAAGUAUAUGUCAGUAAUAAAAUAUUGCAUGUAUGAUUGUGAGUUUUGCUGUUUUACUAAGAUAACUCAGAGACAUGAAAAAUGUGUAGCAAUAUCUUUCAGUGUUUUUAACUGCUGUACAUCUUCUCAGUUGAGGAAUAUGCAAUGUGUCACUUUGGAUGGGUGUUUGGGUGAGGCAGUGCCAGCAGAAGUAAUAGAAGUCUCAAUCAGAAGUCAGGUUCACAAAGGCCAGUAGUCACCACCAGUCUUGUUUCCAAGGUAGUGCUUCUUCCUUCUGCAGAGCUCAGCCUUCCUUUUUUUCAUCUUUGUCACCUUUUCUCCCAAGUCGAUGAUCAGCCAAGAAGGACCAAGACCAACAGUCCACCCAAACUUAGAAGGAGUUUGCUGCAAACAGAAACCAAUACUUACUGUCACAACUACCACAGUCACUGAGGUAUCAUUAUUAAGUAUCUAUAAUUCUUUUGCAGUCCCGGUCCAUUUUAUGAACUGGAUUCCUGCUGCUGCAGCAGUGCUCACUGUGAUGCAGUUGACCUUGAUCUCUACCUGGUUUCUAGAGAAAGUUAGAAACUUAACCUAGGUUUUUCAUGAAGGAUUUUUAACUCUGUUCUAGGAAGACUUUUAUUACAAAGACCACACAAGGAAUAUAAUCCUAGCUAUUUCCCUGUUUAGAGGAGACUUUUGCACUCAGUGGUUUGCACUGCUAUAGGAUUUGUGCUUAUAAAAAAAUUUCUCAUGAGGUUCCUCAAGAUAGCGGAUUGGGUAAAGGGGUUUGUUAACAACCCUGCAAACCUGACUUUAGUCCCUGGGAUUCAAGUGGUGGACAGAGAAAAGUGACUGCCAUAAAUUGUCUUCUUAUCGCUCCAUGCACUGUUAUAUGUGCACAGACAUGUAAAUGAAUAAAUGUAAUAAAAACUGCUUGUGGUUGU
This is a non-coding RNA of Myodes glareolus (Bank vole), 3515 nucleotides long. Lineage: Eukaryota; Metazoa; Chordata; Mammalia; Rodentia; Cricetidae. The record is from RefSeq and is a predicted model, not a curated record.